Molecule: ribosomal RNA, 527 nt
Filed under: uncultured bacterium
Lineage: Bacteria
Description: bacterial SSU rRNA
Rfam family: Bacterial small subunit ribosomal RNA
Source: RNAcentral
CAGGGAAUAUUGCACAAUGGGCGAAAGCCUGAUGCAGCGACACCGCGUGCGGGAUGACGGCCUUAGGGUUGUAAACCGCUUUCAGGAGGGAAGAAAAUGACGGUACCUCCAGAAGAAGCUCCGGCCAACUACGUGCCAGCAGCCGCGGUAAUACGUAGGGAGCAAACGUUAUCCGGAAUUACUGGGCGUAAAGAGCGUGUAGGCGGCACGGUAAGUCAACCGUGAAAGCUCCCGGCUAAACUGGGAGAGGUCGGAUGAGACUGCCGAGCUAGAGGGUCGUAGAGGGGUGUGGAAUUCCGGGUGUAGUGGUGAAAUGCGUAGAGAUCCGGAGGAACACCAGAGGCGAAGGCGGCACCCUGGACGACACCAGACGCUGAGACGCGACAGCACGGGGAGCGAACGGGAUUAGAAACCCCGGUAGUCCGUGCCGUAAACGAUGUGCACUAGAUGUUCGGUCCUCUACGGGGGAGUGAGCGUCGCAGCCAACGCGGUAAGUGCACCGCCUGGGGAGUACGGUCGCAAGGCUA